This is a long non-coding RNA of Camelus dromedarius (Arabian camel), 1794 nucleotides long. RefSeq lists it as uncharacterized. The record is from RefSeq and is a predicted model, not a curated record. NCBI's taxonomy places the organism in Eukaryota, Metazoa, Chordata, Mammalia, Artiodactyla, Camelidae. The transcript is spliced from 2 exons.
CAAAAGGGAGCAAGUGCCUCCUACUCUCCAAAUCUAUGUUUCCUCUAGACAGUUUCUCUAAGAAAUAAACCAAGGUCCUUUAUCUUACCUCUGUCAUACCUCUUAACUAAAGUUUGCAAAAUAAUAUCCCCAGUGUCCUUGAAUGAUAUGAUCUUCCCUCUCACGCCAAGCACAUCUCUUGAAUGCAGAGAAACUGGAUUCCUUUCCCAAAAUUGACUCAGCAGGAGCACUGGACUCAGUUAAGCCCCACGUAGGCAAGUGUUGGGAGUUCAUGCUUUGCCCUUGGGAAGAAAUCUCCCACCUACAUUAUUAGAAGGUAAUUCCUAGCUGGAAAAGCAGUAUAAAGACCCAGGAGCCGAGUCUACCUCCAUCUUGAGAAAAGAGGUUGGAAUGAAAUCGGUGCUAAUGCUACAAAUAAAAGUUGUUAUUCAAUAGAAGAAAAAUCGGAGAUUUAAAUGACGAGUGUUAUAGCUGCUGCUUGUUCUUGAAAGCGUGUUCAUACAGGGCAGGUGCUGAUUACAGCACGCUGUGUUUAUGCAGUCCAACAGAAAUAAGCUGUUGACAAAAGAAAGAGAACAGAUCUCAGAAAACAAGCACCGAUAAUAUGUUACGGCGUUUCUUCCUUUCUCUUGGUUUAACAUAUUUGAAAACCGCCACCCUUUACAGUAAUUGACAAGACAGUGCAGGCAGUUUUGCUUUCUGGGAUGUUGGAUGUCAUGUGUCAUGACUGUGAUCCAUCCGUUGCGAGUUAAAUUGGGCUAUUGGACUUGUGGCCACACGUCUGUUCUCAGCCCAAUGGUUUGUUUAUUUAACCAUUUUUGUUAGAGACUCUCAGCCCAUCAAGAAGGAGGUUUGAUUUUAAAAAUUAAUCUUGAGAAGAAAAGAGCAAAUACAAAUACAGUGUUUCUUGGUCAAUUCAAUUCAGUUCUCAAUCAAUACCGUUUUGAGAUGCUGACUGUCAUGAAGGUAACAGGCACUAAUAAACAAGAUACACGCCAUCAUGAAAAGGCCAACUUAAUAGAUCCAGCCUGUUAAUUUUACGAUGGAUAUAUUUAAAACAACAGCAACAAAAUAAGUCUCUUGCAUCCACUGGACCUCUGCACAGGCUUUCAGUACUAGAUGUUAUCAAAUAGCCCUACCGCAUGAACAUGCCAGUCAAUCACAGGAUCUGCACAGUCGUCAUGGAGCCAGACCUGCACUCCCCAUGACGCUGGUUUGCGCUGAGCAUAAAGGCGGCUACUACUUGCUCCUGCCCUGCUGUGUCUUCAUGAGGACACAUCCCAUUGAGGCUGGUUUCUCCACAUUACAUCCUCUGGGUGCUCCAUUGGAACUACCAGCUGACUUAUAAGUACAGAAGUUUCUCCUCAUGCCAUGAUUUUCUCUAUUCACAGACAUACUUUUGGUCACAUUUUUAGCCACAUACUCCUUAGUCUCUGCUUGUAUAAUUCCUCCUCCUUAUAUGUGAGACACAGGAAUUCCCUUCUUUUGCUCUCUGGUCCUCUUUUACGUUGGUCAGCUCACCACAGUCACAUACAGACUGUCACUUGAUGUUGUGAAAUUUAGUCUCGGAAGAGUCGUUCAGGGGCAGUGAAAGUAGAGGUUAAAAUCACCUGUCACUUUCAGUGAAAGGAGGAAACAUGUUUAAAAAGACAAAUGAAGUAAGCUCACCUUUAAAAAAUUUUGGUAUAUUUUGGGGUGGGGUGAAAAUGCUAUACAUCCACGGGCAACUAUAAAUUAAACUUGAGCUGUGAAAUCUGACCUCUUCACAUAUCUGAAUAAACAUGUGAGAAAGAA